RNAcentral lists this long non-coding RNA (414 nucleotides) under Mustela putorius furo (domestic ferret). Its description in RNAcentral is "lncRNA (ENSMPUG00000030664.1)". The record is from RNAcentral. Lineage: Eukaryota; Metazoa; Chordata; Mammalia; Carnivora; Mustelidae.
CUUGUGCCCUGAAGCCCAAGAGCUGGAUUCUUUCUGCUUCUGCUGUAUGUGACAACUCUGAUGCCAGCUCCAAUGCACCAAGACAAGACCAUGUGAGCUCACAGAGAAAUGGUGGCCAUCUGCUAACCUAAAAGAGGACUCUCACCAAGAACUGAAUCUGCUGGCACCCUGACCUUGGUAUUUCCAUCUCUUGGAAUUGUGAAAAAUACAUGUCUGUUGUUGAAGGCCCCUAGUGUUUUGCUACAGCGGCCCGAGAAGACUAAGAUAUCCAGAACUGAGUCAGUUGAACGUGAUGCCUCUGGAAUGCCAGCUGGCUAUGAGCGUGUGAAGAAGCCUGUGUGGUCACUGACACUGAGCAGCACCCACAGUUCUACGGUAGGACCAUCCCAACACCACCUCCUGGGUGCUGCGUGA